GAAAUAAAACAUAUUUUUAAAGAUCAAAACAAUAUGAGUCUUAAAUUCUUGAACCUGUAUUUGAUAGCUACAAAUCUACUGUUUAACGUGAAAUAAGAAUCAUGCUGGUAGGUUUGAUAUAAAGGAUUUUUUGGAGAGUUUAAUUAAGAAGCAAAUAUAUGUUAAUAUUCGGGAAAACACGAAACUGAGGUUGCUAUAGCGACAAAACUAAGUCGGUGACCCCCAAUUUUUUUCAUCAUUUUUGUUCCUCAAAUCAUGAAAUACCUUCACACAAAAUUUUAAGGAAAAAUCACUGGUAGAAAUAAAUAGGCUGUUUGGUCUUUAA
Molecule: long non-coding RNA, 325 nt
Filed under: Mytilus galloprovincialis (Mediterranean mussel)
Lineage: Eukaryota; Metazoa; Mollusca; Bivalvia; Mytilida; Mytilidae
Source: RNAcentral